Molecule: ribosomal RNA, 492 nt
Filed under: uncultured bacterium
Lineage: Bacteria
Description: partial 16S ribosomal RNA
Rfam family: Bacterial small subunit ribosomal RNA
Source: RNAcentral
AGUGAACGCUGGCGGUAGGCCUAACACAUGCAAGUCGAACGGCAGCACAGUAAGAGCUUGCUCUUACGGGUGGCGAGUGGCGGACGGGUGCGGAAUACAUCGGAAUCUACUUUUUCGUGGGGGAUAACGUAGGGAAACUUACGCUAAUACCGCAUACGACCUACGGGUGAAAGCAGGGGAUCUUCCGACCUUGCGCGAUCGAAUGAGCCGAUGUCGGAUUAGCUAGUUGGCGGGGUAAAGGCCCACCAAGGCGACGAUCCGUAGCUGGUCUGAGAGGAUGAUCAGCCACACUGGAACUGAGACACGGUCCAGACUCCUACGGGAGGCAGCAGUGGGGAAUAUUGGACAAUGGGCGCAAGCCUGAUCCAGCCAUGCCGCGUGGGUGAAGAAGGCCUUCGGGUUGUAAAGCCCUUUUGUUGGGAAAGAAAAGCAGCAGGUUAAUACCCCGCUGUUCUGACGGUACCCAAAGAAUAAGCACCGGCUAACUUCGUG